Molecule: ribosomal RNA, 846 nt
Filed under: Salmonella enterica
Lineage: Bacteria; Pseudomonadati; Pseudomonadota; Gammaproteobacteria; Enterobacterales; Enterobacteriaceae
Description: partial 23S ribosomal RNA
Rfam family: Bacterial large subunit ribosomal RNA
Source: RNAcentral
GUUAAGCGACUAAGCGUACACGGUGGAUGCCCUGGCAGUCAGAGGCGAUGAAGGGCGUGCUAAUCUGCGAUAAGCGCCGGUAAGGUGAUAUGAACCGUUAUAACCGGCGAUACCCGAAUGGGGAAACCCAGUGUGACUCGUCACACUAUCAUUAACUGAAUCCAUAGGUUAAUGAGGCGAACCGGGGGAACUGAAACAUCUAAGUACCCCGAGGAAAAGAAAUCAACCGAGAUUCCCCCAGUAGCGGCGAGCGAACGGGGAGGAGCCCAGAGCCUGAAUCAGCAUGUGUGUUAGUGGAAGCGUCUGGAAAGGCGCGCGAUACAGGGUGACAGCCCCGUACACAAAAGCGCAUGUGCUGUGAGCUCGAUGAGUAGGGCGGGACACGUGGUAUCCUGUCUGAAUAUGGGGGGACCAUCCUCCAAGGCUAAAUACUCCUGACUGACCGAUAGUGAACCAGUACCGUGAGGGAAAGGCGAAAAGAACCCCGGCGAGGGGAGUGAAAAAGAACCUGAAACCGUGUACGUACAAGCAGUGGGAGCACAGGUUUACCUGUGUGACUGCGUACCUUUUGUAUAAUGGGUCAGCGACUUAUAUUCUGUAGCAAGGUUAACCGUAUAGGGGAGCCGGAGGGAAACCGAGUCUUAACCGGGCGUUAAGUUGCAGGGUAUAGACCCGAAACCCGGUGAUCUAGCCAUGGGCAGGUUGAAGGUUGGGUAACACUAACUGGAGGACCGAACCGACUAAUGUUGAAAAAUUAGCGGAUGACCUGUGGCUGGGGGUGAAAGGCCAAUCAAACCGGGAGAUAGCUGGUUCUCCCCGAAAGCUAUUUAGGUAGCGCCUCGUGAA